Molecule: unclassified non-coding RNA, 164 nt
Filed under: soil metagenome
Description: partial internal transcribed spacer 1
Source: RNAcentral
CCGAGUUUACAAACUCCCAAACCCUUUGUGAACCUUGCCGUAUCGUUGCUUCGGCGGGACCGCCCCGGCGCCCUCGGGCCCGGAACCAGGCGCCCGCCGGAGGCCCCAAACCCUCAUGUCUUUAGUGGUUUUCUCCUCUGAGUGACACAUAAACAAAUAAAUAA